UUGGGAGCUCUCCCAUAUGGUCGACCUGCAGGCGGCCGCGAAUUCACUAGUGAUUUUACCGCGGCUGCUGGCACGGAGUUAGCCGGAGCUUAUUCUCCCGGUACUGUCAUUAUCAUCCCGGGUAAAAGAGCUUUACAACCCUAAGGCCUUCAUCGCUCACGCGGCAUUGCUGGAUCAGGCUUUCGCCCAUUGUCCAAUAUUCCCCACUGCUGCCUCCCGUAGGAGUCUGGGCCGUGUCUCAGUCCCAGUGUGGCUGAUCAUCCUCUCAGACCAGCUAAGGAUCGUCGCCUUGGUGCGCCUUUACCACACCAACUAGCUAAUCCUACGCGGGCUCAUCCCUCGGCGAUAAAUCUUUGGUCCGAAGACAUCAUCCGGUAUUAGCAGUCAUUUCUAACUGUUAUUCCGAACCAAGGGGCAGAUUCCCACGCGUUACGCACCCGUGCGCCACUAAGGCCGAAGCCUUCGUUCGACUUGCAUGUGUUAGGCAUGCCGCCAGCGUUCGUUCUGAGCCAUGAUCAAACUCUAAUCGAAUUCCCGCGGCCGCCAUGGCGGCCGGGAGCA
RNAcentral lists this ribosomal RNA (561 nucleotides) under uncultured Alphaproteobacteria bacterium. Its description in RNAcentral is "partial 16S ribosomal RNA". The record is from RNAcentral. Lineage: Bacteria; Pseudomonadati; Pseudomonadota; Alphaproteobacteria.